GUGAGUCAUCGAAUCUUUGAACGCACUUUGCACCUUGUGGCUUUUGUCACUAGGUAUACUUGUUUGAGUAUCCAAAACAAUCUCACCUCCCUUUCGGGGCGAAGUGGACUUGAGAGCAUCGAUGAAGAGAGUGCGCGUGCGCCUUACCGGGGGCAAGCGUGGUCGCGUCGUCGUCUCUUUGAAUACAUGGUCCUUUGUGGGAGGUCUCCGUCUGGAGCCUGACAGACUAUUGGGAUAACAUCCUGACGAUCGUUUGUCGGUUCGCAUACGUACGCGUAUGAAUGGACGUUGACCGACCUU
This 300-nucleotide unclassified non-coding RNA is filed under the name uncultured fungus. Its description in RNAcentral is "sequence contains 5.8S rRNA gene, ITS2". The stretch from base 1 to 73 matches the Rfam family "5.8S ribosomal RNA", at positions 84 to 154 of the family's 154-position model. The record is from RNAcentral. Lineage: Eukaryota; Fungi.